Molecule: long non-coding RNA, 150 nt
Organism: Bufo bufo (common toad)
Lineage: Eukaryota; Metazoa; Chordata; Amphibia; Anura; Bufonidae
Exons: 3
Source: RefSeq, a predicted model, not a curated record
CCAGACCAGAGGCUGGGGGCCGGCAGAUGGAGAGAGAGUGGUUAAUGGAGGCUGCAGGCACCACCUUGGCAUGUAUAACGUUAUGGUUUAGAGAGGGGUUAAUGAACGCACCUCCAAGGUGCUUUCAUUAACCCCUACAAACCAAUAACU